Molecule: ribosomal RNA, 454 nt
Filed under: Criconema sp. LSU_9
Lineage: Eukaryota; Metazoa; Nematoda; Chromadorea; Rhabditida; Criconematidae
Description: LSU rRNA
Rfam family: Eukaryotic large subunit ribosomal RNA
Source: RNAcentral
GUUCAUUGGACUCAGCCGGUUUUCGGUGUACUUCCUUUGAACGGGUCAACAUCAGUUUUGUCCGGGGGAUAAAGGCAGGAAGAAAGUGGCUUGCUUGCAAGUGUUAUAGCUUUCUGUCACAUACACUGGGGGAGACUGAGGACUGCAGCUCGCCUUUUGGCCGGGGUUCGCCCACGUUCGAGCUUAGGAUGUUGACAUAAUGGCUUUAAACGACCCGUCUUGAAACACGGACCAAGGAGUCUAACAUAUCUGCGAGUGUUUGAGUGUCAAACUCGAGCGCGUAAUGAAAGUGAACGUAKGAGGGAUCCGCAAGGAGCACCUUCGACCGAUCCGGAUCUCUUGUGAUGGAUUUGAGUAAGAGCAUAUAUGCUGGGACCCGAAAGAUGGUGAACUAUGCCUGAAUAGGGCGAAGCCAGGGGAAACUCUGGUGGAGGCUCGUAGCGAUUUCUGACGU